UAAAUCUCUGCUUCUCUCUCAUUCUCUUCCCCCUUACUACUACUACCAGCAACAUCGUUAUCAUCAACUUCAUAAACCCCCAAAUCCUUUUCCCUACUUUCUUUCAAAACCCUAGAAAUCUCUUUCUGUUUGAAGAUCCACCAAACCCAAAACCUAAUGGUCGUCGUUCAAAAAGAAGAAGAUAGAAAACAUCUUGGAAAUAGGGGUCAAUACAAAGGGGCAGAGAUGGAGUUCUAGGUCUGCUGUAAAGAGCUGGAUAUCACUCUGCUUGUUACAGGGUAAUCGCUAUUACAGUCGAAGAAGAAGAUGAUAUUGUAAAAUUUUCUGAUUACAAAGCUUCGUUAACGGCAUCCAGUGGAGGGGCGAAAAGCUCACCUGAACCUUCUCCACCAAAAAAGAGGCGGAGCCCGUGAGCUCGCCUGAGCUAACAACAAGUUCAGUGGCUGCUGAACCUCCUCAAUCAGAAGGUCCCAGUUUUGCUAUCCAUCUUGCAACAAAACUGGCUGAAGACUGAAGAGAACAACGUGUUUAUUUCAAGCGUUAAAGGCACAGGUCCUGAUAGCAGUAUUGUGAAGGAUGAUAUUGAUGGCUACUUGGCUAGCAAGGCAUCAUCCCCCAAGGAUAAAGCCACAACACAGUCAUCUAAUUUGGAUUACACCGAACUUCCACACACUCAAAUAGCAAAGGUAUGGUUAUUUUUCUGAAAGAUUGAGAAGCCAACUUAAUUCCGUCCAAGAAGAUUCUGGUGGGAAACAGAUCUCAGUUAAUGAUCUUGUAGUGAAGGCUGCUGCUUUGGCUCUUCGCAAAGUUCCUCAAUGUAACAGUUCCUAUACAAAUGAUUAUAUCUGCCAGUUCAAAACCAUCGUCUGAUGGAUAUGGGAGGAGAAUAAGAGAAGUUGCAUGUCCUACUUGCACCGUCCAUUUGCGGCAACACGAUGGCUCACCAUAGCUCCCGUUGCACCCACAACCCUAUGGUACCAACUCCGCUGUGUUUUGUCUCAGCCAAUAUAUGCCAUGGCUGGACGAGAUUAAUGGAACUCUUCGUAUGGUUGCUCAAAAUGCACAGAGUUAUACCGUUAUUACUUAACUAUGUCAGGUGGUUCAUAGGGUGAUGUGGAAAAUCCUUCUUUUAUCCUACUUUUCGAAUGCUCUUCUUGUAGACGUUUUCUUACAGCGGGGCUACCUCCUCUUUCGCGAACACUAGAAUCUAACUAGUAAGGCGUUAGUGAGAUCUUUGAUUUCAGCUGCAUCUCUGUCUUAGCAGCUUUCUGUAAUAAACAUGAAAAAUGGUGAGGUGUCACUUGUGAGUCUGUUGCUAUAAAACCAAAUAUGCUUUUGGCUCUCCAUAGUCUAGUCUCGGCAAGAACUCGCUGUUGUUCCUCCUGGUUCAAUCAUCUCUUACUGAAGUUGGUUUGUAUCUUUCAUUAAGACGUUAUGUACGACAGGGGAUAGAAUCCUGAGACAUGGACAAUGGUGAGAACAUUGUGGUUGCUGGCAAAGAAAAAAGAAGCCUGUAAGCGUGAUGGACGGUUUCCUGAGGUUGGCGCAAGCAAAUACAAAGAAAUAUUUAGAAACAUGUGGGGUUCUUGAUGGUAAACCGAAAAAUAGAGUAUUCCAUAUUACAACAUUGAUAAUUCCAAAGAAGGAGGCAACUUCGGACUCUUGCUCGACGAUGAAUGAAGAAGAAAUUUUUCGAGUUUCAAGAGAAACUCUUCCUUAUCCCCCUUGGGUGGAUUCAUGCACAUCCUUCACAGACUUGCUUUAUGUCUUCAGUUGAUCUUCAUACACAUUAUUCAUACCAGAUUUUGAGCAGCUUCAUUGGGCGUGCGACAUCUAACACACUUCUCUUGCUGGUUCCACCAGUUGAAAUGCCUCACAACCCAUGGUGACAACUUAAACUUCAAGCACCGGGCAUACCUCAUGCAGCAGAGAAUGUUCACCUGGUUAGCUUGUUCCAGCAGACGAAUGUGAGAGUUCUUAUUUCUUUUGAUCAUUUUGUAAGAACCUUAGUGUGAUGCUGAAUAUUUAUAAAUAUAUCCACAUGAUAUGAUUUUUGUGAUGU
Long non-coding RNA from Papaver somniferum (opium poppy), 2062 nucleotides. RefSeq lists it as uncharacterized. NCBI's taxonomy places the organism in Eukaryota, Viridiplantae, Streptophyta, Magnoliopsida, Ranunculales, Papaveraceae. The transcript is spliced from 16 exons. The record is from RefSeq and is a predicted model, not a curated record.